RNAcentral lists this transfer RNA (71 nucleotides) under Camelus bactrianus (Bactrian camel). It matches the Rfam family "tRNA". Rfam says of the family: Transfer RNA (tRNA) molecules are approximately 80 nucleotides in length. Their secondary structure includes four short double-helical elements and three loops (D, anti-codon, and T loops). Further hydrogen bonds mediate the characteristic L-shaped molecular structure. tRNAs have two regions of fundamental functional importance: the anti-codon, which is responsible for specific mRNA codon recognition, and the 3' end, to which the tRNAs corresponding amino acid is attached (by aminoacyl-tRNA synthetases). tRNAs cope with the degeneracy of the genetic code in two manners: having more than one tRNA (with a specific anti-codon) for a particular amino acid; and 'wobble' base-pairing, i.e. permitting non-standard base-pairing at the 3rd anti-codon position. RNAcentral also lists the same sequence under 2 other names. Lineage: Eukaryota; Metazoa; Chordata; Mammalia; Artiodactyla; Camelidae. The record is from Rfam by way of RNAcentral.
GAGGGUAGAGCUCAGUGGUAGAGUGCAUGCCUAGUGUGCACAGGUCCUGGGUUCAAUCCCCAGUACCUCCU